Molecule: ribosomal RNA, 228 nt
Filed under: uncultured bacterium
Lineage: Bacteria
Description: partial 16S ribosomal RNA
Rfam family: Bacterial small subunit ribosomal RNA
Source: RNAcentral
UAGUGGCGCACGGGUGAGUAACACGUGAAUAAUCUACCUCCGAGUGGGGAAUAACCAAAAGAAAAUUUUGGCUAAUACCGCAUAACACUUACGAGUCAAAGCAGCAAUGCGCUUGGAGAGGAGUUCGCGGCAGAUUAGUUAGUUGGCGGGGUAAUGGCCCACCAAGACGAUGAUCUGUAUCCGGCCUGAGAGGGCGCACGGACACACUGGAACUGAAACACGGUCCAG